This 97-nucleotide microRNA precursor is filed under the name Mayetiola destructor (Hessian fly). RNAcentral's name for it is "microRNA mir-927". It matches the Rfam family "mir-927 microRNA precursor family". Lineage: Eukaryota; Metazoa; Arthropoda; Insecta; Diptera; Cecidomyiidae. The record is from RNAcentral.
UUGGUUUGCUUUAGAAUUCCUACGCUUUAUCAAUUAAACGAUGAAAAUAAACGUUUUAUAAUCGCUGGCAAAGCGUUUGGAUUCUGAAGCAAAACGA